UUGUCAGGGUUUGACGACCUCUCUCUAUCACGAGGACUGUAGCUAGUACCACGUCCAUCAGGACUCCCCUUCUCCCUCCCUCUCCCAUAAGGACUAGGACUUCGGUUGGGGACUCGGUCAUCAUUUGGUCUUUCCCUCUGAUGGGAAGGUCUAUGGCUGGGAGUCCUAACAUGGUCGCUUGAUCUCUCUCUCUCCCUCCUAUAAGGACUAUGAUUGGGACUACGACCUCGACCAUAAUCAGGAGAACCCCUCUCCCUCUCUCUCUGGUAAGGACUUGGACUACGACGGCUACCAUAAUCAGGACUAGCUCUUUGUCUCCUAUAUGGACUGCGGCUAAUACCAUUUCCGUAAUCAGGGCUUCCUCGCUCUCUUCUAUAGGGACUUGAGGAUCGCCUUUUUCUAUCGGGAGACCUAUCACGAUUCCUAUCAGGACUAUAUCCAUUUCUCUUAUCAUCAUCAUCUCUAACAGCAUAUUCCACUGAAAUCACUCGAUCCAUCAAUUUGCUGUAAACAAUAAUAAUAGUUCAAGGCAUAACAAUAACUGAUCAAGUACAUAAUGGCCUAUAAUAAACAAGAGCAAAUAACAAUGUACAUUUUCCUUCAGAUGGUCUCAGUGCGUCAGGGGCAAAGGGAGAUUAAUUAAUCAACCUUCAAUAAAUGACCCUACUACACAGCAUUAAUUUUUUAUUCAAUUCAACAAAGAAAAGCUCACACUCACCUCAUGUUUGUCAGCUCCAAUGCUCUAGUGGCAUCCUCCUGCAAUUCAUACUGGACAAAUGCAAAAUUUCUUCGAAUCCUUACACUCAAUAUCUUACCAUAAGGAUCAAAGUGCCUCUCUAAAUCCCUUGUCCUAGUAUGAUAUGGGUCAAAGUUGAUAACAAACAAAGUCUUUGAAGGUCUUGUAUUAGUCGAGGAUCUCCUCGAACCUCCUCCUCCUCCACCUCCACCACCACCACCACCUCCACCUGGACCUGGUCUUCUAAUCCCACGUUCUUGCUACAAAGCAAAAGAAUGAUUGAUCGAGGAACAUUUUGAAGUUACAGUAACUACAAUCAAAUAAAAUUUCCACAAAGGGAUUGAAAGUUAAAAGUCCAUUGGGAGUUACAGAAUAUCAAAGUAUAUUACUUUGGUCCACUCAACACGUAGUCUACGACCCUUUCGACCAAAUUCUCGCCGAUCAAGUGCACGAAUGGCAUCCUCAGCAUCUCUCUCAUCCUCCAUAUAAAUAAAAGCAAAACCUGUAAACCAAUCAAACAGAACAAAAAAUAUAUAAUUAUGGUAUCUGUGAGACACGAAAUUAAGGAAUUCCUCGAAAUGAACUAUUAAUUUUCUCUCUAAUAAUAUUCAACAAAACACAAAAUCUUACCAUAAGAAAGAAAUAUUCGCAACCUUCGUGAAAUCUAUAAACUAAGUUAUCAGUGAAUUAAGCAACAGACCUUGUGUAUGAACUAAGUGAUGUCAAGGAGCAAUAAUCCAAAACAGGAUGUCUCAUGGUAGGUCUACAAAUAGAAAGUGCCUUCUCGAAUAUUCUGCAGCCUCAGCUGAGGUUGACAAUGUUUCAACCUUGAAAAAAUGUAUGGAUUGUAGGCAUGCAAAAGUCAUGAGGAAUGGAAACUGGAAAGCAAAGUGUCGGAGGAAAAUGUAAGAUGGCGGUGCCAUUUGAGGAUCGCUAUGAAUCUUCUUGGAAACAAGACAAAGCUUGUCCUAGGCGGAACACUCAAUUCUGAAGAGCCAUCUUUAUCCAAGAGGAUUAUGAAAUAUGCGAAGAAAAUCCUGCACCAAAGAAAAUUCUGGCCAAGGUGGUUUAGGAUUUAAAAAACAUCCUUUUUUUUUUCUCAAAUAAUUUUUUAGAACCCCCCAUCAAAAAUCCAACAAAAUUCAGGUUCUACGGUUUUUUCAUAUGCUGGAUGAUGCAGAAUCGUACUGCAAGGCACCAAAUGCGAUGAGAACAACCUCUACUUUGGGGGAAUUACCAACAGUUGAAUUGCCUUGCCAACGUUGUAUCCAACAGUUUCUUGGUGGAUCGUGAGUAACUUCGCCAGUUCAGUAUAUCGCAUAGAUUCAAAAUUUGCAAGUGGCUCGUAACAACAUGAUACAAAUUAUACAAACUUUAAAAUGAAUUCACAAAUCAUAACACAAACGUCCUAUGUUGUGUUUCUAAUAUAUGUCUGAUAAAUUUCUCAUCAAAAAUAAAAAAGGAAUCCAAACACACAAAAAAAAAUGCUACAGAUAGAAGCUCACCAGAUUUCAUAUCUACUCUAUCAACUUUUCCGUAUCGACUAAACAGCCUUUCCAAAUCAGGCUGGCGAGCAUCAUACUCGAAGUUUCCACAAAAAAUCGGCUUCAUACUACCUGAACAGAAAUCGGAAUAGAAAAAUACAACAGUCAACACAUCGCUCUCACAAUACAAGGAUAACAAUAAAAUAAACAUUCAAAUGCAACAUCAGAGUUGAAGAAACCUAAUUUCAAUUCAUGAACAAGAAAACUAUUUCAAACUAAUCUUAAGAGCAAAGAGUAUAUGGAAAGAACUAUGCACUUACCGUUUCAAAGCAAAUCGUGAAGUGUAUGAGCAAGCUCCUUUCGGCUGUGAGUUUGAGGCUGCCGACGGAGAUCGAUUAACGCAGUGUGGAUUGGCCGGAGAGGUAGCGAGAGGUACGGUAUGCGGACUGCGGCUGUGGGGAAAAUGGGAUUUAGGGUUUUCCUUUUUUUUUAACCCUAAUUUUCAUAUACGAAAUAAUUUCAAAUGUUUCACUUUCUUUUUCCCUUUUUGAGGAAAAGAAAAUACAAAACUAAUCUGUAAAAUAAAAUGAGUUUAUUUUGUUUUUUUAGUAACCACUGCUCUCAUGACCCUUCCCUUUAAAACCAUUCUUCUACUCCAAAGCAAACUAGCGUUUGUAUUAUCAAGUUUAUGUUUGAUGGGUUGUCCAAAAAGUCUAUACUCGACCCCCUCACUUUAGUAGGGUUGAACUUUAGAUGAACAAGUCAGGAAUUUUUGUAUCUGUAAUGUAAAUAGUUGAUAAUGUAUAAAAUUAAUGUUUUUUUAGUAGUGGAAUCCAUAAACUCUUUAGUCAAAUAAACAGUGAAAUUCAUAAAUCACUGCUUUCAGACUUUUUAAGUCAAAUACAUUUGCAGAGAAUUAUUGUGUCUAUUUGAAAUAAAGUGAAGAUUUAGAAUUUAAAAAUAAAUUUUCUAAUAAAAUGGGAUAGUUGCCUAUCAAAUUUAGUUUUUUCUAAAACAAAUCAUGGCUAACAAAUGUAGACGCGAAAUAAAUUAUAUUUCAUUUAACAAACAUUUUCAAAUUUAAUUUUAUCGUAAUUUUAAUUAUCUCGUUUUACCAACUAUAUUUUAUACAUUGAAAAAAUAAGUUCACUUUAACUGAAGUUGUUCGAUUGUCUACCUUCACAAAAAAAACUAUAUUUUAUAUGUUAUUUAAUUCAAUUUUAUUUGUGGAUGUUAUUUUAAUUCAUUUUGAAUGUUUUUUUAAUUAUUUUUAUUUGAUUAUUUUGAUUUGUCAUUGGCUAUGAUUUAAUUAUAGUCUUCCAUUCAUAUGAUUCGAUCAACAAAAUAGCAUUUCAAACUUGAUAUGUGAUAUCUAUAUCUAUAUUAAAAGUAAAAAGUGUUUGAAAAACACUUUAGCCUUUUGAAUUUUUAAUAAAUUACAAAUAGUUGUUACAAUAGAAGGAAGUCAAUACAAAAUUGUGAGUAAUGAAAAAGUAAAAGAAAAGGAUUCAAAUAUAUUUAAUUUCUAACGGUCAAUUAAAUAUCACAUUGAAAACUGUCAUAAUUAUAUUUAAAAAAACAACCAAAAGUCUGUUAGCCUUCUCUCUCUCUUUCACUUGACAAAUAUAAAUAAUAAAGUAGACAACAUUGAACACAACCAAAAUAAAAGCAUACACACAAGUUGAGGAGAGCUAGGAUACGAGAUUUGCUGUAAACGAUUAAAGUGAUUUACGACAAGUAUACAAUUGACAUGACCUAGAGUUUGGGUUGCUACUCAAACAUGUAUAUGUGAUUUUAUUGGUGGCCAAAAGUUUUUUUUGUUGUUGGAUUAAGAAAAUACGGUAAAGUAACAAAGAAAGAUUCUCUAAGUGCUCGUGUUACGAUAAUGUCUAAGGGCUUGUUUGGACUGGAUAUCUUAGCUCACUCCUUGUUUGGGUUUCAAAGUUGCAUAAUAGAGAAAUAUCAUUUAUACCUUCCCAACUCCCAUGUAACACACCUCAACCAACUCCAUCGAAAUCCACUUGUCUUCUUCAUCCUGUUCGUUUUCUUCUCUAAAUAUGAGGCACCUUCAACAUUUUUUCUUUUUGUCCUCUCCGAAUCUACACUCUAUACUAUUUGGGAAGGGUAAGGAUAAUUGAUUAUGAGAAUAUAUAACAUGUGAAGUAAAAUAGGGUAAGGAUAAUUGAUUACGAGAAUAUAUAACAUGUGAAGUAAAAUUAGAUCAAAUAUAUACGUUAGUAUACAAUGUGAGUGUUUUUAUGUAAUAUUUUAUUAAUUUUAUUGUAUAAGAAGUUUAAAUUUUAGUUUUUAUGUUUAAACACUUUUUAAUUUAAAUGUUUGAGUUAAAGGGUACGUAACUCAAUCGAUAUGCAAUAAUCAAUAUGUAACAAGUGAUCGAGAGAUUCGUAGUUUAAAUCUCACACUAUUGUACUAUCUUCCAAUGAUAGAUUGACUAAUAAAAAGAUAUGUGGUAUAAUAUUUAGUUUUAAGAUUGACAAAAACUUUUAAAUUUAGAAGGAUAACUGAAAAGGAAGUUUCUUUUUUUUUUAUCUAUUUUUCUCAACUGAAUAUUAUGUGUAGUAAAUUUUUAGUCAAUUUUAAUAUUCUCUAAAAGUUUUUUAAAAAAGCUCAAUAGAAAACGCUUAAGACACAAAAGACUAAAUGAAAUUGUUAAAAUGUGAUGCAAACUAAAUUGAAAAAUAAUCCAACGUUGGGGGCAAAUAAAAUCUAUAUAUUUAUCUUUAAAAAAAUUAUUCAAAGUAAAUAUAGAUUAUAUUGUGAAAUAUCUAAAAUUAAAUAGUUUAAAAAAUAAUUGUAUUAAAUAAUGUUUAAAAGUAAAAAGAUCAAAAAUUAAAAAAUUACACGUGCAUUGCACACUAGGACAAACAAAAACAAAAUAUCCGAUGGAUGAAUGACCCUUAAGGGGUCUUAACGAAAGACGAGAACCUUCUUAAAAUUGGAUAAAAAGUGGCUUUAUGUUGAUGUCAUUCACAUUUGAAGGUACCAAUUUGACCUCAAAAUGUGUGCAAGGACCUUUUUUUAGCUUUUAAGACAAAUUUAUUCAUCAUAGUGCUCGAGUUUUAAAAGUAAUUGUUUCUCGAAAAAAUUGUCGUUCUUCUAAAACUAACACUUCUGUAUAAAUAAUAUGUGAAUCUACCAAACAUUCAGAUUAUAGAUGAUAUGAAAAAAAUACAAAAUACAAAAAAUCACAACUUCAUAUUUAUUUUUCAACCAAAUAGAUCAAUAAAAACUUGAAUUAAAAUUUUAACAUAAUUUUAAAAGUGAUAAAAAGAAACAAGAAAGAAAAAGAGUACCAUGUUUGUAAAUUAUUUUUGCAAAUAAUAAUAAUUAUUAUUAUAAUAACAAAUGAAAAGAUAUUUGCUACAUGGUUUAAUUUUCCAUGUUUAAAAAAAUAAUUGAGAAAUAUAUAAUUGCUUCAGUGAAACAUAAUUACAUCUAAAACCAAACCAUAGGAUUGAUUCUUUCAAAAUUUAAGAUAUGUUAUGAGAGUGAUUAAAAUAACUUUUAUCAUUUUUGAAAUCAUUCCACAAAAAUGCUUUUCAAUCAUUUAAGACCAACUUUGAUGGCAUAAAAAUACAUUUAAAAAUAUCAAAAGCACUAUCAGGAUUUUAGAAGCAUUGUUGAUAAUGAUAUAACCCAAAACAGUGCUUUUAAACUGCCAAAAGCAACAGUCACUCACUCUUAGCUAAGAUCAGAGUGCUAUGUAUUUUGAUUGUUAACUAAAAUCUGGUAACACCAUAUCCAUAGAAUCGCUACAAACUGCAGAAGCACAAAUGUAAAGAAAUCACAAAACUUUAUCCUUGCAAGUACAUGUGUUUACCACUAAUGCUGGUUAUACAACUAAACAUACUCUGAAGCAGAUUGAGAUCAUCAACAUCACUUCCCACCUUCUAGUUCAUCAUUCCUCUGCUUGUGGUGAACGGCUGCUGCAAAACCAUAACACGAACACAGGCAUAAGACAAAAAAAUUCGAAAAAUAAUCAAGAAUAGUAAUACUAAAAACAAUCAAAUGAACUCGUAGUACAAACCUGUUAUAACCCCGAUGCUUUGGGCUCUGAGUGCCACUAUAACUGGGGCACUCACCAGGUUCAGCUACUGUAUUCUCCUGGUGAUCAUGACCAUUGUCCGGGUUCAACCUUUCUCUAUCACGAGGACUAUAGCUUCUGCCACGUCCACCAAUAGGACUCCCCCUCUCCCUCUCUCUCCUGUAAGGACUAGGACUUCGGUUGGGGAUUCGGUCAUCAUUUGGUCUUUCCCUCUGAUGGGGAGGACUGUGGCUGGGAGCCCUAAUAUGGUCACUUGAUCUCUCUCUCUCCCUCCUAUAAGGACUAUGCUUGGGACUACGACCACGGCUAUAAUCGGGAGAUCCUCUCUCCCUCUCUCUCUGAUAAGGACUCGGACUACGGCGACUUCCAUAA
RNAcentral lists this long non-coding RNA (6658 nucleotides) under Cucumis sativus (cucumber). Its description in RNAcentral is "long non-coding RNA (CSAT_LNC000866)". Lineage: Eukaryota; Viridiplantae; Streptophyta; Magnoliopsida; Cucurbitales; Cucurbitaceae. The record is from RNAcentral.